Molecule: ribosomal RNA, 619 nt
Filed under: uncultured bacterium
Lineage: Bacteria
Description: bacterial SSU rRNA
Rfam family: Bacterial small subunit ribosomal RNA (bases 1-522)
Source: RNAcentral
CCUACGGGAGGCAGCAGUGGGGAAUAUUGCGCAAUGGGCGAAAGCCUGACGCAGCAACGCCGCGUGAGGGAUGAAGGCCUUCGGGUUGUAAACCUCUUUCAGCAGGGAAGAAGCGAAAGUGACGGUACCUGCACAAGAAGCACCGGCUAACUACGUGCCAGCAGCCGCGGUAAUACGUAGGGUGCAAGCGUUGUCCGGAUUUAUUGGGCGUAAAGAGCUCGUAGGCGGUUAGUCACGUCGGAUGUGAAAACCCGAGGCUUAACCUCGGGCCUGCAUUCGAUACGGGCUGACUAGAGUGUUGUAGGGGAGACUGGAACUCCUGGUGUAGCGGUGAAAUGCGCAGAUAUCAGGAAGAACACCGGUGGCGAAGGCGGGUCUCUGGGCAACUACUGACGCUGAGGAGCGAAAGCGUGGGGAGCAAACAGGAUUAGAUACCCUGGUAGUCCACGCCGUAAACGGUGGGCGCUAGGUGUGGGGGACGAUUCCACGUUCUCUGCGCCGCAGCUACGCAUAGCGCCCGCCGUCGGGAGGUACGGCCGACCGAACGGACGUAAACCUACAACGGAAGUUAGACGGCGUGAGACGUACGACCGACGGACGACGACCGAGGGGAGGUAGG